GCGAAUGUGGUGUAAGGGCAAACAUUAGAGUAUGCCAAUCUCUAAGAUGCGAGUUCGAGUCUCGCCAUUCGCU
This 73-nucleotide transfer RNA is filed under the name Pantanalinema sp. GBBB05. Its description in RNAcentral is "tRNA-Gly". It matches the Rfam family "tRNA". Rfam says of the family: Transfer RNA (tRNA) molecules are approximately 80 nucleotides in length. Their secondary structure includes four short double-helical elements and three loops (D, anti-codon, and T loops). The record is from RNAcentral. Lineage: Bacteria; Bacillati; Cyanobacteriota; Cyanophyceae; Leptolyngbyales; Leptolyngbyaceae.